GAGAAGGCUAUGUUGGCCGGGCGACGGUUGUCCCGGUUUAAGCGUGUAGGCUGGUUUUCCAGGCAAAUCCGGAAAAUCAAGGCUGAGGCGUGAUGACGAGGCACUACGGUGCUGAAGCAACAAAUGCCCUGCUUCCAGGAAAAGCCUCUAAGCAUCAGGUAACAUCAAAUCGUACCCCAAACCGACACAGGUGGUCAGGUAGAGAAUACCAAGGCGCUUGAGAGAACUCGGGUGAAGGAACUAGGCAAAAUGGUGCCGUAACU
Molecule: ribosomal RNA, 263 nt
Filed under: Escherichia coli
Lineage: Bacteria; Pseudomonadati; Pseudomonadota; Gammaproteobacteria; Enterobacterales; Enterobacteriaceae
Description: partial 23S ribosomal RNA
Rfam family: Bacterial large subunit ribosomal RNA
Source: RNAcentral